Molecule: ribosomal RNA, 267 nt
Filed under: Alteromonas confluentis
Lineage: Bacteria; Pseudomonadati; Pseudomonadota; Gammaproteobacteria; Alteromonadales; Alteromonadaceae
Description: partial 16S ribosomal RNA
Rfam family: Bacterial small subunit ribosomal RNA
Source: RNAcentral
UUAAUUGAAGAGUUUGAUCAUGGCUCAGAUUGAACGCUGGCGGCAGGCCUAACACAUGCAAGUCGAACGGUAGCAGGAUGUGCUUGCACAUCGCUGACGAGUGGCGGACGGGUGAGUAAUGCUUGGGAACUUGCCUUUGCGAGGGGGAUAACAGUUGGAAACGACUGCUAAUACCGCAUAAUGUCUACGGACCAAACGGGGCUUCGGCUCCGGCGCAAAGAGAGGCCCAAGUGAGAUUAGCUAGUUGGUGAGGUAAAGGCUCACCAA